CGUGUAGGCGGCCAGGUAGGUCGGUUGUGAAAACUGGAGGCUCAACCUUCAGACGUCGACCGAAACCAUCUGGCUAGAGUCCGGAAGAGGAGAGUGGAAUUCCUGGUGUAGCGGUGAAAUGCGCAGAUAUCAGGAAGAACACCCGUGGCGAAGGCGGCUCUCUGGGACGGUACUGACGCUGAGACGCGAAAGCGUGGGAGCGAACA
Molecule: ribosomal RNA, 206 nt
Filed under: uncultured bacterium
Lineage: Bacteria
Description: partial 16S ribosomal RNA
Rfam family: Bacterial small subunit ribosomal RNA
Source: RNAcentral